This 330-nucleotide unclassified non-coding RNA is filed under the name soil metagenome. RNAcentral's name for it is "partial contains 5.8S ribosomal RNA, internal transcribed spacer 2, and large subunit ribosomal RNA". The stretch from base 1 to 120 matches the Rfam family "5.8S ribosomal RNA", at positions 35 to 154 of the family's 154-position model. The record is from RNAcentral.
GAUGAAGAACGUAGCGAAAUGCGAUAAGUAGUGUGAAUUGCAGAAUUCAGUGAAUCAUCGAAUCUUUGAACGCACAUUGCGCCCCUUGGUAUUCCAUGGGGCAUGCCUGUUCGAGCGUCAUUUGUACCCUCAAGCUUUGCUUGGUGUUGGGCGUCUUGUCGUAUUACGACUCGCCUUAAAUACAUUGGCAGCCGGCACUUUGGCCUAGGAGCGCAGCACAUUUUGCGAUCGUAGCCCGUUGUACUGGCGUCCAUCAAGAACAUUUACCACGUUUGACCUCGGAUCAGGUAGGGAUACCCGCUGAACUUAAGCAUAUCGAUAAGCGGAGGA